Molecule: ribosomal RNA, 384 nt
Filed under: Triticum aestivum (bread wheat)
Lineage: Eukaryota; Viridiplantae; Streptophyta; Magnoliopsida; Poales; Poaceae
Description: partial small subunit ribosomal RNA
Source: RNAcentral
AUGCACCUAUCAAUCUUUCUUCUGUAUGCAGGUUACACACCUGAUGAUGUUUACGGCGAGGCGCAGGAACAAGCAGAGGCCGAGGAAGUGCGGGCACACGCGAGGAAGGUUCAGCGGGCUGCAGAAGUCGGGCCACGCCCGGAGCGCCGUGCCAAUGCAUGUGUGCGUGGUUGGUGGGUUGGCCAAGAUCUGCAUUCUGCGACUUCGUCUUCACCAUGGACACAAGCAAGGACUGAUUCGUGGGUCUUGGUAGCAGUGCCGAGCAUCGGCGGAUCGAAGAGGUCGAGGUCGCGGUUGAUCGACCAGGACGAGACAUGCAUCUUGGAGCUAGCGCAGAGGGGGAAAGAAGCAGGUUGGUCUGGCCUGGCCUCGCAAAUGAAUUGA